UACAUUUAAGUGUAUGGUGCACGUGAAUUUUUGAUAUUUAAAGGAGUAGUUUAAAUCUAUUGAAUGUAG
RNAcentral lists this transfer RNA (69 nucleotides) under Malaccina sinica. RNAcentral's name for it is "tRNA-Gln". Lineage: Eukaryota; Metazoa; Arthropoda; Insecta; Blattodea; Blattellidae. The record is from RNAcentral.